UGGCUCAUGGCUCAGUCGGUAGAGCAUGAGACACUUAAUCUCAGGGUCAUGGGUCCAAGCCCCACAUUGGACAAA
Molecule: non-coding RNA, 75 nt
Organism: Podarcis lilfordi (Lilford's wall lizard)
Lineage: Eukaryota; Metazoa; Chordata; Lepidosauria; Squamata; Lacertidae
Source: the annotation of a GenBank genome assembly